Molecule: ribosomal RNA, 382 nt
Filed under: Thalassiosira minuscula
Lineage: Eukaryota; Bacillariophyta; Thalassiosirophyceae; Thalassiosirales; Thalassiosiraceae
Description: partial Bacterial small subunit ribosomal RNA
Rfam family: Bacterial small subunit ribosomal RNA
Source: RNAcentral
CGGAUUUAUUGGGUUUAAAGGGUCCGUAGGCGGAUCUGUAAGUCAGUGGUGAAAUCUCACAGCUUAACUGUGAAACUGCCAUUGAUACUGCAGGUCUUGAGUAAAUUUGAAGUGGCUGGAAUAAGUAGUGUAGCGGUGAAAUGCAUAGAUAUUACUUAGAACACCAAUUGCGAAGGCAGGUCACUAAGAUUUAACUGACGCUGAUGGACGAAAGCGUGGGGAGCGAACAGGAUUAGAUACCCUGGUAGUCCACGCCGUAAACGAUGAUAACUCGGUGCUGGCGAUAUACGGUCAGUGCCCAAGCGAAAGUGAUAAGUUAUCCACCUGGGGAGUACGAUCGCAAGGUUGAAACUCAAAGGAAUUGACGGGGGCCCGCACAAGC